GACGAACGCUGGCGGCGUGCUUAACACAUGCAAGUCGAACGGUAAGGCCCCUUCGGGGGUACACGAGUGGCGAACGGGUGAGUAACACGUGAGCAACCUGCCCUUGACUCUGGAAUAACAGUUGGAAACAGCUGCUAAUACUGGAUAUUCAUCGUCUCCUUCCUGGGGGGUGGUGGAAAGCUCCGGCGGUCAGGGAUGGGCUCGCGGCCUAUCAGCUUGUUGGUGAGGUAAUGGCCCACCAAGGCUUCGACGGGUAGCCGGCCUGAGAGGGCGACCGGCCACACUGGGACUGAGAUACGGCCCAGACUCCUACGGGAGGCAGCAGUGGGGAAUAUUGCACAAUGGGCGCAAGCCUGAUGCAGCAACGCCGCGUGCGGGAUGACGGCCUUCGGGUUGUAAACCGCUUUCAGUAGGGACGAAGGGUGACUGACGGUACCUACAGAAGAAGGACCGGCUAACUACGUG
Molecule: ribosomal RNA, 465 nt
Filed under: uncultured bacterium
Lineage: Bacteria
Description: partial 16S ribosomal RNA
Rfam family: Bacterial small subunit ribosomal RNA
Source: RNAcentral